Molecule: ribosomal RNA, 442 nt
Filed under: uncultured bacterium
Lineage: Bacteria
Description: partial 16S ribosomal RNA
Rfam family: Bacterial small subunit ribosomal RNA
Source: RNAcentral
CCUACGGGUGGCAGCAGUGGGGAAUAUUGCGCAAUGGGCGAAAGCCUGAUGGAGCAACGCCGCGUGCAGGAUGAAGGCCUUCGGGUUGUAAACUGCUUUUAUAAGCGAGAAAUAUGAUGGUAACUUAUGAAUAAGGAUCGGCUAACUACGUGCCAGCAGCCGCGGUCAUACGUAGGAGCCGAGCAUUAUCCGGAGUGACUGGGUGUAAAGAGUUGCGUAGGUGGCAUAAUAAGUAGCUAGUGAAAUCUGGUGGCUCAACCAUUCAGACUAUUAGCUAAACUGUUAAGCUCGAGACCGGUAGGGGUAGCUGGAAUUUCUAGUGUAGGAGUGAAAUCCGUAGAUAUUAGAAGGAACACCAAUAGCGUAGGCAGGUUGCUGUGACGGUUCUGACACUAAGGCACGAAAGCGUAGGGAGCAAACGGGAUUAGAUACCCGAGUAGUC